Molecule: small RNA, 574 nt
Filed under: Pongo abelii (Sumatran orangutan)
Lineage: Eukaryota; Metazoa; Chordata; Mammalia; Primates; Hominidae
Description: retained intron
Source: RNAcentral
UUACUUGUCAUCUUCGUCCCAACUAUUAGGGAUAUCUUUGGUUUUAUUGGUGCAUCUGCAGCUUCUAUGUUGAUUUUUAUUCUUCCUUCUGCCUUCUAUAUCAAGUUGGUGAAGAAAGAACCUAUGAAAUCUGUACAAAAGAUUGGGGUGAGUGAAAGAUUAUGACCAUAGAAACAGUAAUAAUAUCAUAAAUUUCCCCAACUGAUUUUAAUUUUAUUCUAGCUGUAAUUUGUUGUGGUUUCACUUUUAAGUUUCCAGUAAACAUUUCUGUAAUGGUAUACUUCACAGAUGGAAGAUUGCAGAGGGAAGGGGAAAGAUAGUUUGCCAUCUAAUAAAUACAAGUUAAUUGCAAUAAAGUUAUUAGAUACUUUGGAGAUAGGAAUAGGGAUGAAGACUAGUGUGAGAUACUCAGCUUUCAACAUUUGUUCAACCAGUUUUCACUGGACUGCCUACAGUGUGACAGGCACUUAAAUGGGCAUUGAAUAUAUAAAAGAGAAGGAAGGGCUCUUUAGUUGCAUGAGACUGACCAUCUUCAGAGCGAAGCUCUCAGGGAGGCCAUCUCUUCAUAGUGUUU